UCCUCGAUGGUGUAAUGAUUAGCAUGACGCGCUUUCACCGCGUUGACCCGGGUUUGAUUCCCGGUCGGGGAA
This 72-nucleotide transfer RNA is filed under the name Sicyoidochytrium minutum DNA virus. It matches the Rfam family "tRNA". Rfam says of the family: Transfer RNA (tRNA) molecules are approximately 80 nucleotides in length. Their secondary structure includes four short double-helical elements and three loops (D, anti-codon, and T loops). The record is from Rfam by way of RNAcentral.